CCUCCUCCAAUCGGGUGUGUUCAUGAUUUGACCCAGGUCGCCCUCCUCCUUCACCUCAUUGCUUCACAAUGUCUUCACCUACUCAGACCUUCGGCUUCCUCCUCAUCUGGUUCUCAUAUCAGAUCCUGAUGGGAGCAGCAGCAAAAACCUGCAGGAUGCCGCGAAUGAUGAUCCUGCUUCUCCUCAUCUUGCCUCAGUAUCAAGCCAAGAGCGUGCAAUUUCAACCAACUGAUCCCAAAAUAGUCAACACGGCAGACAAAGUGGAGUUCCACUGUCGUCACGACGACAGCGGUCUAAACGUUAUGCUCUGGUACCAGCAGACAGACACCGGUGCUAUGGAGCUGAUAGGAUACAGCUACGUCGGGAGUGAAGCGGUCUAUGAGAAAGCCUUUGAAAGCAGGUUCAGGAUUACAAGACAAGACACCCAGACAGGAGGCCUGAACAUCGACGACGCCUCUGCCUCAGACUCCGCCGUGUAUUUCUGCGCUGGCAGUACACAGUGAUGUGGUUUAAUGAAACCUCAUGACUAAAAGUCCUACCCGUUUCAGAAAGCUUCAAGUUGGGUUGUCUUUGUCUAAUGAUUACCGAUUUCUGUGGAAUCACUCAACUGUAUUUGAGAUUUUUGUAAUUUUUCCUUCUAUGUUCUUUUCGUUUUCAUUAUUUUACUUUUACAAACUCAAACGACUGCAAUGUUGAAUUUACCUACAUUUUUGGAAAGACGAUCAGUGUGAAAAUCCGUCUGUCCGUCCGUUCAGGAUGGGCUCUUACAUUUCUUGACGUUUAUGACGUUUCACAGGAGAGCUAUUUUCUAAACAUGGACACUGCCGUCUUUUUUCCCCCUUCUUUCCAUCAUGCUACUAUUAGCCGUGUUUCCAUUUCAAAUGUUUUUAAAACUUUGUCAAUAUUCUGUUGUUGUCAAAAAACCACAAUUUAGCAAUUCCUGUUGCCAUUAAGUAAGAAACGCAAUUAAAAUCACACAGAAUAAGUUUGUUCACGGCAUGAUCCUCAAUCCACUACUGCUUGACCUCUUCUUCAUGGUUGGCGCCAGUGACAACAUCCGGUUGUUGAGCAUGUGACUCGUAAUGCAAACAAUUAUUUUGUGUGAAAUAAACCGAUUUCAAUUUGGCCAAAAAACCCUACCUCAUCCCAGCGCCAAAACCUUUUGUCAAAAAACAAGAGUUCUUUCCAAACUGCCGUGUUUCCAUUGAGCAAACUUAUUUUCGACAUGCCACAGAAAUUGACUGAGGGAGGAAUUAUGUUUUCACAUAAAAGCCAUGUUGGCUUGAAUAGUUUUUUAUCCCUUUAACGAAUCAAAUUAACAUUCAAAAACUGCACUUAUUUACAGAGUUUAUCUUUGAUUACCUGAUGGUCUGACAGGAAGCAAAAACAUCAGAAAUCUGCAUCACAUUCCACAUAUUGAUAAAUUACAGACGUGUGUGAACUCCAAUUGGAUUAACAACCGGAUUGUUAAUCCAAUUCCUGAACUAGAAAUCCAGGAAUUGUAAAUUGUGACACUGACUGGCGACAUGUGAUCCUGUGACCUCCUCCUUCUUCUUCUUCUUCUCUUUCCUCUGAACAGAACGGCUCUUCCUCACUCAGCUCAGCGCUCCUCCUCAGGCAACAUGCUGAUCACAGCUCUUUAUCUGUCUCUGCUUUCACACUUAGGUCUCACUGGUGAAGUCCUCCAGCCUGCAGAUGUCAUUUCUCACCAAGGAGACAAUGUGACGGUGGAGUGCUUGUUGGGAAAACGUUCCAUGACUCAGUUAACCAUGUGCUGGUAUCAGCAGAAGCACCGCGGAGCUCCGGUCGAGUUCAUCCUCAGAAAGGACCAGACGAACGCCGGACGCUUCCAGUUGUUUAUCGAUCACGAACAAAACAGCUUCACUCUUCGCAUGUCUGGGCUGCUUGUGAACGACAGCAGCACCUACUACUGCGCUGCCCGUCACAGUGAUGCAGACAAACCACGACCUCGUGCAAAUAGCGUAUCAGAGGAACGCAGGAAGGAGCUACGAUAGGUUUGGUUUGGUCUUUGAGCUACGCACUAGUGGUGGCCGAUAUGGACAUGAAUAUUCUGUGGUAUUAUUGUUGUCACAAUAAAAGUGAUAAGAACUA
Xiphophorus maculatus (southern platyfish) is the source of this 2112-nucleotide non-coding RNA. Lineage: Eukaryota; Metazoa; Chordata; Actinopteri; Cyprinodontiformes; Poeciliidae. The record is from the annotation of a RefSeq genome assembly.